CCUGUCACAUACAGGUCGGGAUGUGAACCGCCGAGGACGUCCCCGUGCGGUUUGAACCACGCA
RNAcentral lists this non-coding RNA (63 nucleotides) under unclassified sequences. RNAcentral's name for it is "eL15-Euryarchaeota ribosomal protein leader". It matches the Rfam family "eL15-Euryarchaeota ribosomal protein leader". The record is from RNAcentral.